AAUUAGGUUUUCUAGGGUUCCGUAUUUUCAUAAAUAGUCUGGUCCGAGAGAAAACCCAUGUAAUACGACAUUACAUGACACGGAAGGACAAAAGCCUGGGAGAU
Molecule: small RNA, 104 nt
Filed under: Staphylococcus hyicus
Lineage: Bacteria; Bacillati; Bacillota; Bacilli; Caryophanales; Staphylococcaceae
Description: Guanidine-I sequence
Rfam family: Guanidine-I riboswitch aptamer
About the family: This family represents a conserved RNA structure found upstream of the ykkC and yxkD genes in Bacillus subtilis and related genes in other bacteria. The function of this family is unclear although it has been suggested that it may function to switch on efflux pumps and detoxification systems in response to harmful environmental molecules.
Source: RNAcentral